AUAAAUAGGGAGAUUGGGAACUACCAUUUCAAUACACACGGGGUCGUCUAUACUAGUUCUUGGUAAAGAAUUUUAUAGUUACUGUAUAGGUAUUAUCAACACCACUGUUCAAGAUGCUGAAACUGACCAUAUUCUCUACAAUAUGUCUGAUUCUACAAUCGAUAUGCGGUAUUAGCGCAUUGUCAGGUGGUGCAAUAGCUAGUGAGGCUGACAGCCACGUCGGAUCAACAAAAUGGAGUUACGCAUCUUCACAUGCCACAGGGUCAAACACCAAUAAAUGCAAUAUCUUCGUAGCUGACGUUCUGAAAAAUGCAGGUGGCGAUGUACCUCACAGGUGGUGGGGAUUUUCCGGACCCAUCGGUGCUGGCGAAUGGGGUAAUCCCAGCUCGUCAUACUUAUCCGGAGAUGACUGCUGGAGUAACGUGAACAUCCCAAGAAUCGGAGACGUGAUCGGGGAUGGUGUACACGUAGGUAUAAUAACCGGAUACCGAACGACAACAAGUGCUAGAUAUGACAUGGUAGUGAAAAACGACUGGGGUUACAGACCUAACCAGAGCUCUACUCGAUUUGCUUACUGGAGAUAUGUAUGUUAAAGACAUAAUCUCUCCUGUUACUUAAAGAUGCAUUAUGUAAGAGUUAAAUCUGCCAAUUGAAAAUCUUUAUUUUGACUAGUAAUUACACAUUCAUUUAUUCACAUGACCAACCCAUAAUCAACUCUCUAGUUCAUCGCAUAUCUAUGAUGAUGUGUGGAUUAGACAAUGUUUGUCAUAUCUUCGUUAAACGCUAAAUGGAAAAUCAAGACUAUGUUUAUUACCAUAACAAUGGUACUUGAUAAUCGAGAGACCCUUUAGGCUAUUUCUUGCCAAAACUUCAGAUACUAUAAUCAAGUAAUUUGACUGAAAUUUUCAAUAUAUUUAUUUAUCAUUUUAUCUAUUUUGGAACUAUUAUAACAAGAAUGGGUGUCUCUUUAUCUAAAUCUUACAUAAGUAUCUUUAAGCUAGCUGUAAUGUAAAUUCGUACAUGGACUUGAUUGUUUUUGCUUUAAUGAAAAUAAUAGGUAAUUAUAUAAAUAACUGUUUUAAAUUAACUGUUAUAGUCAAUAAUAUAAUUUUGUUUAUCAUUGUUAUUUAAUGUAGUUUCUAUUGGCUUACUGUAGUCUAUUAUAUCAAAUGUUUAUUACACUCCAAGAAAUGUAUAUAUGGUUGUAUCUCACUGACGAUAUACAUAUAUCCACGAUUGUUUAUUGUAAACGCAUGAUUUACUAUGUUAUGAUGUUUCCAGAUAACUUAUAUCGAUUUUUGUCUAUUGUUUAAUCCAAUUCAGUUUAUAGAAUAAAAUAUUGUAUAAAUUAAAGAUACAUUAUGGGAGAUUAGAUAACGAGUUGGCAGUUCUCACUAUAAUAGUUAAAAACUACAUAAUGUAAAGGCAACUUGAUGAAAAUUUCAUUCAAAUUGAUCUACUAUGAACCGAGAACUAAGCGGAUGAAAGUUCCGCUUAGCCUCGAUCAUCAUUACUGAAGUCGAUAAGACAAAACUAAUAGUCUUGAUUAUCCAUUUAAUCGUUAAUCACGAAGGAAAGUUUUGCAGCAAAUCGGACUGUAAUCCAACAAAUAUCGCAGGCAAGCCUUGACAUCGAGAGCUGAUUAUGGUCUGGAUAAGUUAAUUAAUGUCUAAUUAAUAAUUUAGAUAACAUUUCAGGCCUAAAGAAAGACCUACAAUAGGCCGAUUUUGCUCUUGCAUAAUGUAUGUUUAAGUGUUUUACAUGUUGAUUUAGAUGUUGAAUUAUCGUAUUUUUGUUAUGAUACAUAUGCAUUGUGUUAUUGUCAUGAUGAGAAAUAAGAAUUGUCUUAUGGUGAUUAUGAUAAUUACGAAUUGUCUAACUGUCAUGAUGAUAAACAUUGUGUUAUAGUCAUGAUGUUAAAUAUGAAUUGUCUUAUGGUUAUUAUAAAUAUGAAUUAUGUUAUUGUCAGGGCGAUAAAUAUUAAUUCUGUUAUUGUUAUGAAGCAAAAUGUUAUUAUUUACUGAUUAAAUUUUACAUGAUGUACAACUGAAA
Patella vulgata (common limpet) is the source of this 2052-nucleotide long non-coding RNA. RefSeq lists it as uncharacterized. NCBI's taxonomy places the organism in Eukaryota, Metazoa, Mollusca, Gastropoda, Patellidae. The record is from RefSeq and is a predicted model, not a curated record. The transcript is spliced from 3 exons.